GAUGAAGAACGUAGCGAAAUGCGAUAAGUAAUGUGAAUUGCAGAAUUCAGUGAAUCAUCGAAUCUUUGAACGCACCUUGCGCCCUUUGGCCAUUCCGAAGGGCAUGCCUGUUUGAGUAUCAUGAACACCUCAACUCUUCAUGGUUUUCCGUGAUGAGCUUGGACUUUGGGGGUCUUGCUGGCCUAUGGUCAGCUCCUCUAAAAUAAAUCAGCUUGCCAGUGUUUGGUGAGUAUCACAGGUGUGAUAACUAUCUACGCUUGUGGUUUUCCACCAGGUAACCUUCAGCAGUGGAGGUUCGCUGGAGCUCACAGAUGUGUCUCUCCUCAGUGAGGACAGCUCUUUGAAUGUUUGAUCUCAAAUCAGGUAGGACUACCCGCUGAACUUAAGCAUAUCAAUAAGCGGAGGA
This 406-nucleotide unclassified non-coding RNA is filed under the name soil metagenome. Its description in RNAcentral is "partial contains 5.8S ribosomal RNA, internal transcribed spacer 2, and large subunit ribosomal RNA". The stretch from base 1 to 121 matches the Rfam family "5.8S ribosomal RNA", at positions 35 to 154 of the family's 154-position model. The record is from RNAcentral.